This 302-nucleotide ribosomal RNA is filed under the name Alexandrium margalefii. Its description in RNAcentral is "partial Bacterial large subunit ribosomal RNA". It matches the Rfam family "Bacterial large subunit ribosomal RNA", at positions 2235 to 2535 of the family's 2925-position model. The record is from RNAcentral. Lineage: Eukaryota; Dinophyceae; Gonyaulacales; Pyrocystaceae.
GUGAAUCCGCGUUGGGGACAUUGAUAGGUGGGUAGUUUGACUGGGGCGGUCGCCUCCUAAACAGUAACGGAGGCGCACAAAGGUCCACUCAGCACGGUCGGCAAUCGUGCGAAGAGCGUAAGAGUAUAAGUGGGCUUUACUGCGAGACCUACAAGUCGAACAGUUGCGAAAGCAGGUUCUAGUGAUCCGGUGGUUCCGCGUGGAAGGGCCAUCGCUCAUCGAAUAAAAGGUACGCCGGGGAUAACAGGCUUAUCUCCCCCAAGAGUCCAUAUCGACGGGGAGGUUUGGCACCUCGAUGUCGG